Molecule: ribosomal RNA, 433 nt
Filed under: uncultured Lachnospiraceae bacterium
Lineage: Bacteria; Bacillati; Bacillota; Clostridia; Lachnospirales; Lachnospiraceae
Description: partial 16S ribosomal RNA
Rfam family: Bacterial small subunit ribosomal RNA
Source: RNAcentral
ACGGAAGGCAGCAGUGGGGAAUAUUGGACAAUGGGGGAAACCCUGAUCCAGCGACGCCGCGUGAGUGAAGAAGUAUUUCGGUAUGUAAAGCUCUAUCAGCAAGGAAGAAAAUGACGGUACUUGACUAAGAAGCUCCGGCUAAAUACGUGCCAGCAGCCGCGGUAAUACGUAUGGAGCAAGCGUUAUCCGGAUUUACUGGGUGUAAAGGGAGCGUAGACGGCAAAGCAAGUCUGAAGUGAAAUCCCGGGGCUCAACCCCGGAACUGCUUUGGAAACUGUUUAGCUAGAGUGCAGGAGAGGUAAGCGGAAUUCCUAGUGUAGCGGUGAAAUGCGUAGAUAUUAGGAGGAACACCAGUGGCGAAGGCGGCUUACUGGACUGAACUGACGUUGAGGCUCGAAAGCGUGGGGAGCAAACAGGAUUAGAUACCCUGGUA